RNAcentral lists this ribosomal RNA (497 nucleotides) under uncultured bacterium. Its description in RNAcentral is "partial 16S ribosomal RNA". It matches the Rfam family "Bacterial small subunit ribosomal RNA", at positions 28 to 507 of the family's 1533-position model. The record is from RNAcentral.
GAUGAACGCUGGCGGCGUGCCUAAUACAUGCAAGUCGAGCGAACAGACCAGGAGCUUGCUCCUCUGACGUUAGCGGCGGACGGGUGAGUAACACGUGGAUAACCUACCUAUAAGACUGGGAUAACUUCGGGAAACCGGAGCUAAUACCGGAUAAUAUAUUGAACCGCAUGGUUCAAUAGUGAAAGUCGGUUUUGCUGUCACUUAUAGAUGGAUCCGCGCCGCAUUAGCUAGUUGGUAAGGUAACGGCUUACCAAGGCAACGAGGCGUAGCCGACCUGAGAGGGUGGUCGGCCACAUGGGAAGAGAGCAUGGGUCCAGACUCCGACGGGAAGCAGCAGUAGGGAAUCUUACGCAAUGGGCGAGAGGCGGACAGAGCAACACGGCGUGAGUGAUGAAGGUCUUCGGAUCGGAAAGCUCUGUUGUUAGUGGAGAACAAAUGUGUAAGUAACUGUGCAGGUAUUGACGGUACCGAAUCAAAAAGCCACGGCUAACUACGUG